CAAUAGCGUAUAUUUAAGUUGUUGCAGUUAAAAAGCUCGUAGUCGGAUUUUGGCUGAGAACGAUCGGUCCGCCGUUAGGUGUGCACUGAUUGGUCUCAGCUUCCUGGUGAGGAGGUGUGCUUCACGGCCACUUAGUCACCGUGGUUACUUUGAAAAAAUUAGAGUGUUCAAAGCGGGCUUACGCUUGAAUAUAUUAGCAUGGAAUAACACCAUAGGACUCCUGUCCUAUUUCGUUGGUCUCGGGACGGGAGUAAUGAUUAAGAGGAACAGUUGGGGGCAUUCGUAUUUCAUUGUCAGAGGUGAAAUUCUUGGAUUUAUGAAAGACGAACUUCUGCGAAAGCAUUUGCCAAGGAUUUUUUCAUUGA
Molecule: ribosomal RNA, 365 nt
Filed under: uncultured eukaryote
Lineage: Eukaryota
Description: partial 18S ribosomal RNA
Rfam family: Eukaryotic small subunit ribosomal RNA
Source: RNAcentral